GUUUUUCUGAAGUAGUAUCAGUUUGUAAGCUGAAUGUUCUUUUCAAUCAUCUACUGAAGAUGUUGAACAAAUGUAUUUAAAGUUGUUAAUGAAGUUAUGUUAAAGCCACUUUCCUUGUUAAAUAUCUUCUCUAUUUCAUGCUAAAAGUCUAGCAAAAUAUAAAUACCUUUUCUUUACUGAAAUACCUCUCUGUAGAGGACAGACUGAAUGAAUUAAUCAAUCAAAAAAAUAUUUUGCUGCCAAGUCUGGAAGAAAAUUCACAAGAUUUGCAACAAGCACAGACUCUUGUGCUAGACCAAGAAGACAAAUGCAGAUAUUAUGAGAAAAAAAUGCAGGACCUAGCAGAAAAAAGAAGGCUUUUGCUUACCAGCCUGGAAUCGAAUUGGAAAGAUCUGCAACAGACUCAGGCUCUGGCAGCUAGCCAACUUCAUGGCAUGAAUGGAAACAAAGUAAAUGAACUCAUCAAGGAAAGAGAGUCUUUGGUUGCUGAAAUAGAAGAAAAUCUAAAGAGCCUUCAAGAAGUUGAGAAUGUGGUAACAAGCCAUUUAGUCACAGACAGAUUCAUUGAAAGUGAAUCGUUAGCAGGGAAAAAAAGAAUCCUUCUUCCAAAUCUUCCAUUGGCUCUGUCAUCUGUUCAAAGUGCAGACAAAUCCGUUGGUAGGAAAGGGACAGUUCCAGCACCUGCGCAGUCAACUUAUGACAGAGACACCACAUCAUAUGUUAAUCAAAUGAUGCCGAGAAAAGUUGCAUCGAGUAUAUGUUUUGACUUUUCUACGCUUCCAGCCUUAGUACCAG
RNAcentral lists this long non-coding RNA (795 nucleotides) under Struthio camelus australis. RNAcentral's name for it is "lncRNA (ENSSCUG00000007869.1)". Lineage: Eukaryota; Metazoa; Chordata; Aves; Struthioniformes; Struthionidae. The record is from RNAcentral.